UGUGAGUUUUAGAAUAAUUGUCUGUAGCCUAUAUCGUGGACGUGUACAUUUAUUUGAGUUGUGAAUUUUUGCAUUAAACUCCACAUAAUUUUGGGUAUUUCUGGUUCAGAGCUGCGGGGGUCAUGAGGAGGUGUCUUACGAUGAGGGGAGCAACCGCUGAACCCUCAUUCACCUUUGACCUUUUUCUGGAUGCAGUGAAGUGUGCUGUUUGCUGCCAUAAUGCACCUUCUCUUGGACCCAUCUAAUUAUACCAGCUCGGACCCAUUCUGUGGGUCUCAGUUGGUACAGCUGAGUUACUGGAGACAGAAGAGUCCUGGAUCAGAUCCUGGUGGAGCAUUUUGCAGGUUGAGCUUUGAUCCGCUUUGCAGCUUGUCAAAGCUCACGACCGGCCUACCGUCACACAACCAUGCUUCAGUGACCAGGCUGGGCCUCGAACCAAGGACCCGUACCGGUCAGUGAGGUUGUGUUCAGUCCACUGAGCUACUGACACUUCCACACUCAUGCUUCUUUUUUUGGAAAUUUGUAUUUUUAAUCAUUGAAAGACUAGUGAAAUUAAACAAUUUUUUUCACUGCAAGAGUGAGAUUUGAAACAGGAUUGUCCACAUCAAUGUCUGAAUUUUGGGCGACUGAGCCACUGGCUCUUCCGUAUGUGUGCUACUUUUUUUGGAAUCUUGUCUUAUUCAGUCAUCAAGAGCUGAUGUUCAGAGCACUGAGCCACCAGCUCUUCCAUGAGCCACUCACUUUUUUUCUGGAGUUUUAUCUUUUUUAUUUAUUCAAAGACCAGUGAAAUCAAACAAAUGUUCCAGCUCAAUAGAGGGAUUUAAACCUGGAUCUCCCACAUAAAGGGCUGAUGUUCACACCACUGAGCCACUGGCUCUUCUGCAUGGCUUCCCUCCUUUUUAUGGGAAUUUUUAUUCAGUCAGAAAUCAGUCAAAAUAAACUUUUUUUUUCACGGCAAGAAUGAGACUCAAACCAGGAUGGUUUGAACAUUGAAGUCUGACUUUCAGCUGACCGAGCCACUGGCUCUUACGUGUGUGUGCUGCUUUUUUUUUUAUCUUAUCUUAUCUUAUUCAGUCAGAAACCAGUUGAACUAAACUAUUUUUCCACUUAAAAAGAGCUUGGAAUUAGGAGCUCCCACAACAAGAACUGAUGUUCAGACCACUGAACCAACAACUCUUUCAUGUGCACCUUACUUUUGGGGUUUUUUAAAUAUUUUUUUAUUUAUUCAAAGAUCAGUGAAAUUAAACUAUUUUCCAAUAGAGGGAAUCAAACCUGAAUUUUCCACAUCAAGAGCUGAUGUUCACAGAACUGAACCACUGACUCUUUUGUGUGUGACUCACUUGGAGUAUUGUCUGUCUUAUUCAGUCAGAAACCAGUGGAACUAAACAGUUUUUCUUACAUCAAGAACUGAUGUUCAGACCACUGAGCCAUUGGCUCUUUGCAUGUGUAUCACUUUUUUUUUUUUUUGGAGUUUUGUUGGGCUUAUUCAAUCAGAAACCAGUGAAAAGCUCAAUUUAACCACAAGAGUGAGAUUUGAACCAGGACUGCCUGUGCCAAAAAGAGACGUUUAAACCACUGAGCCACUGGCACUUCAACACAGAUGCUGUGUUUUUUGAGUUUUGUUUGUCUUAUUUGUGCAAAAACAUUGUAAUGAAUGAGGUGUGAACUUGGAUAUUCCAC
This is a long non-coding RNA of Onychostoma macrolepis, 1680 nucleotides long. RefSeq lists it as uncharacterized. The transcript has 4 exons. The record is from RefSeq and is a predicted model, not a curated record. Lineage: Eukaryota; Metazoa; Chordata; Actinopteri; Cypriniformes; Cyprinidae.